RNAcentral lists this long non-coding RNA (2317 nucleotides) under Zea mays. RNAcentral describes it as "long non-coding RNA (ZMAY_LNC004912)". Lineage: Eukaryota; Viridiplantae; Streptophyta; Magnoliopsida; Poales; Poaceae. The record is from RNAcentral.
CCCCCAGCUCGGUCUCCAUAGCGCGCUGCACCUUAAGCGCUGGACCUCCCUUCAACACUCUGUCGCGCCCUACCUCUCUGCCCAACCCCACGACCACCUGUACCCUCCGAACAAUGUCGGAACGUCUCCUCAUGGCCGGUGCGGCGGAAUCGGUGUUCACCCGGGGGUGGAGCUCGCGGCAUGGCCGCCAUUGCCGCUGGGCAUAGAAAUUGGACCUCGCUACUUCACAAUAGUCGGUAAAUCCUGCACUGUCGUGUUCGCCAUGUCCCCAGCCUCGUAUUACAUCAACCAAUUUCGUGAAUCGGGCACUUGGCGUCGUACCAGGGGGGGUGCUCGCUGGCUUUCUCUGCCACGAGCGUAUUACCGUGGCCGCCUUCGGCCGGCGUGGGGAGGAAGAACUGGGUGGACCGUUGGAUGAAUAGUGGAUGACCCAGAUUGGAACCGCGUGUACCCCUUCGACUAGGAUUAAUCUGGGUCGUCGAUCCGUACGCCAGCGGUUUGGAUCUAAUCUAACGCGUAUUGUUUCGUUGAUCGGGUGCUGACCCUCGGAUUCGGAUCGGGUGGUCUGAGUGCUCAGGCGGCCGCGAUCUAAUCUAGAUGGUUGGAUCAGAUCGGGCGGCUGAGAUUGAAGCGUACCCCUUCGGCUGGGAUUUUAUGCAAAGGAGCCCCCGCAAAAUCCCAUAACCAACCCGCCAUCCGCGCAGUGAGAAUAUGAGUCUUGGAGAAAUAUACAAAUUAGCCCCUGCACUUCUUUGAUUUUGGCGCGCAGUCCAGAGGGAGAGAAAAAUAGAGAAAUAAAUAGGGAAAUUGAUUUUUAGUACAAAAAUAAAUUCAUAAACUUGUUUAAUUCAUAUUUAAUUCAUUCUAACUCCGAAUUAACCCAUUCCAGUUCCUAUAAUUUUGUAAUAUUAUUGUUUAUCAUUUAGUGCCACUGUUUUGACAUAAAAGGCACCUUAAAAUUGUUAUCUUAAUUAAUCUUGAACAAAGCACAUAAAAUCUUUAGAAAUCCAUAACUUAAAAUCUAUAACUCCAAAAUUAAUAAUUCCUGUUCCUGUGAUCUUAUUUUAAUGUCUAGAUUAUUACUGUGUAUUUUAUUUACAUGCUUGGUGUAAUGUUAAUUUUGCCUAUACCAUGUUUGUUUGUAUUGCUACGACUAGAGCGAGGAUACGUGUCAUCUGAAAAGCAAGUUGGUACCUGGAUUCUCAAGUCCCAGGCAAGUUGUGCCCUUGAUCACUUCUUUUUACCCACUCAUGUUCUAAUUAAUCAUAAUGAUCUGCAUAGGUUAAUUUUGAUGGGACCCAAUAGGUUACCCUAGUUUGAUUAUCUUUAUACCUUGUUUACCACUGAACUUUUUGGGUAGUACUUGCUAGUGCUUUAUGUGGUUUUGGGUAUGAAGAUACAUUAUUCAUGAUCACGCUUUUAUUAUCUGUUUAUUAUCACUGUUCAUGAUAAGAUCAUUAUGUUAAUUGGAACAUGGAGCGACCACCCGGGAAAACAGUGCUACCACAAGGGUUUAAUGGGACGCCCUUGGCUGAUUAAUUAGGAAAGCUAGUGGAGGACUACCUUACCCGAAAGGGGCAAGGGCAGUAGGGGAGUGGUCAGUGUAGGGAGGCCCUCGGGAGGAUUUUGCUGCGAUGGCGGUCCUGCAAGGGAUUCCUGCAUUGGAGCUUCCUAUAAACUGUAGCGGGUUUUCUGAAGCUAGUGGAACUUUGUAAAGGCCUCGUAGUGUUACCCUGCCUCGCCUCCUCGGUAGAGGUGUAUGGGAAGUCGCGAUCCCUUGGCAGAUGGGUAACAUGACUUGUGGGUAAAGAUGCGCAACCUCUGCAGAGUGUAAAACUGGUAUACUAGCCGUGCUCACGGUCAUGAGCAGCUCGGACCCUCACAUGAUUAAUUUAUGGAACUUAAAUUCAAUUUGUCAUAUGCAUUGCAUCGCAGGUGAUGUUGUUACUUCUGUUCUACUAUUUAAUUGGGUUGGUAUUUACUUAUACUUAGUAAUUGCUAAUAAAAUUUUGACCAACUUUAAAAGCAAUGCUCAGCUCUAACCAUCCGCUUUGGUAAGCCUUACACUUCACGUGAGCUCCCACCUUUGGCGAGUUCAUGCACAUUAUUCCCCACAACUUGUUGAGCGAUGAACGUAUGUGAGCUCACUCUUGCUGUCUCACACCCCCCACAGGUCAAGAACAGGUACCGCAGGAUGAGGCGCUUGGAGGAUGCUGCGAUGAGUUCGUAAGAGAGAUCUAGGCCGUCGUCUCCCAGUCAACUUUGGGUUGCUGGACCGUUGUCUCCUUAUAAUGUAAUUAUUUAUUUUGUAUAGAAU